This 420-nucleotide ribosomal RNA is filed under the name uncultured bacterium. RNAcentral's name for it is "partial 16S ribosomal RNA". It matches the Rfam family "Bacterial small subunit ribosomal RNA", at positions 359 to 774 of the family's 1533-position model. The record is from RNAcentral.
GUUUGGACAAUGGGGGAAACCCUGAUCCAGCCAUCCAGCGUGUAUGAUGAAGGCCUUCGGGAUGUAAAGUACUUUUGGCAGAGAAGAAAAGGUAGCUCGUAACACGAGAUACUGCUGACGGUAUCUGCAGAAUAAACACCGGCUAACUAAGUGCCAGCAGCCGCGGUAAUACGUAGGGUGCAAGCGUUAAUCGGAAUUACUGGGCGUAAAGCGUGUGUAGGCGGUUCAGAAAGAAUGAUGUGAAAUCCCAGGGCUCAACCUUGGAACUGCAUUUUUAACUGCCGAGCUAGAGUAUGUCAGAGGGGGGUAGAAUUCCACGUGUAGCAGUGAUAUGCGUAGAUAUGUGGAGGAAUACCGAUGGCGAAGGCAGCCCCCUGGGAUAAUACUGACGCUCAGACACGAAAGCGUGGGGAGCAAACA